Molecule: ribosomal RNA, 395 nt
Filed under: uncultured eukaryote
Lineage: Eukaryota
Description: bacterial SSU rRNA
Rfam family: Bacterial small subunit ribosomal RNA
Source: RNAcentral
GGCGAACGGGUGAGUAACGCGUAAGAACCUGCCCUUGGGAGGGGAACAACAACUGGAAACGGUUGCUAAUACCCCGUAGGCUGAGGAGCAAAAGGAGAAAUCCGCCCAAGGAGGGGCUCGCGUCUGAUUAGCUAGUUGGUGAGGCAAUAGCUUACCAAGGCGAUGAUCAGUAGCUGGUCCGAGAGGAUGAUCAGCCACACUGGGACUGAGACACGGCCCAGACUCCUACGGGAGGCAGCAGUGGGGAAUUUUCCGCAAUGGGCGAAAGCCUGACGGAGCAAUGCCGCGUGGAGGUGGAAGGCCUACGGGUCGUCAACUUCUUUUCUCGGAGAAGAAACAAUGACGGUAUCUGAGGAAUAAGCAUCGGCUAACUCUGUGCCAGCAGCCGCGGUAAU